GCUCAGCGCUGGGAACUCCGGUAGCGGGUUUCCGCGACCGCGCCGCCUCCUCGCGGCAGCUGUGCGAAGGCGGCAGGAGCCAGCCAGCCAGUCGGCCCCGAAGGAGGCGUGGACAUGACGCCGGGAGCCGACGAGCCCGGAGCCCGCGCUGUCGCCUAGGGCGCCCCGGGGGCUCCGCGGACGGGUGGGGCUGGGGCUGGACGCGGCCCAGCACUGUGCGGAUGGCCGUGCUUCCGCGGACCGCACUUGUCUUCCUGCUCCUGCUGGCCGCCCCUGUCAGGUGCCAGGAGCAGGAUCAGACCACCGACUGGAGGGCCACCCUGAAGACCAUCCGGAACGGCAUUCACAAGAUAGACACGUACCUGAACGCCGCCUUGGACCUCCUGGGAGGCGAGGACGGGCUCUGCCAAUACAAGUGCAGCGACGGAUCUAAGCCUUUUCCACGUUAUGGUUAUAAACCCUCCCCUCCAAAUGGAUGUGGCUCUCCACUGUUUGGUGUUCAUCUUAACAUUGGCAUCCCUUCCCUUACAAAGUGCUGCAACCAACACGACAGGUGUUAUGAGACCUGUGGCAAGAGCAAGAAUGACUGUGACGAGGAAUUCCAGUAUUGCCUCUCCAAGAUCUGCCGAGAUGUGCAAAAAACACUAGGAUUAACUCAGCAUGUUCAGGCAUGUGAAACAACAGUGGAGCUCUUGUUUGACAGUGUAAUUCAUCUAGGCUGUAAACCGUAUCUGGACAGCCAGCGAGCUGCAUGUUGGUGUCGUUAUGAAGAAAAAACUGAUCUUUAAAGAAGAUUCUGACAUUUGGAGGCAAAUGAGGAUGAAAGAAUAUAACCUUUGCCAAAAAAACCCUAAUGUUUUCACAGCAUAAGCUGCCUUAUUUUUGUGAAAGGGUCAGUUUAAGACCUUACAAGACUACAUUACAACGUUAAAACCUCAAAGUAAAAAAAAAAAAAAAAAAAAAAAAUGCCUUCUCAAGUGUCUUCCUGGACAUUGCUGCCUUACUGGACAAAUUCUUGAUCAAUCUCAAAACCAGGUCCAAUCUAGGAUACCACAUUGCAUUAGGCAUGAGUCAUGAUGCCAAAUUAGCCUCUGGUCUGUGGUGGUUCCUCAGUCUUUUCUUGUUUUGCAUAACCCUGACAGUUUUAAGGAAUACUGGUCAAGUGUUUGUGGAGUGUCCCUUCCUCUGGGUUUAUAUGAUGUUUUCCUCAUGAUUAGACUGGGGUUAUGGAUUUUUAGGAAGAAUACCACAGAGAUAAAGGGUCCUUCAUAAUGCAUCCUAUCAGGAGUUACAUGCUACCAACUUAUUGUAUUAACUUUGGACAUUCAGCUAAGGUCUUAGGUAAGAAGUUCGGUUUCUCCAAUAUAAGUUACUAUUUUCCUCUUUUGAUAUUUUGUUUUUUGGGAGCCAGUCACCAAGUCCAGUCCUGUGGGCAAGUCCAGUAGCCGGUGGGCAGGGUUAUGUUCAACCUCCUAGAAGGGGGACCAUCUGAAUGUAGUACUUGGAAUUCUGUAGGAAGGAUUUGUCUCCCCUCCACCUCAAUUUGAUUACUUAUUCAAUAUGUGUAUCAGUAAAGACUCAUGUAUUUAUUUUAUACUUUGGGUGAUAUUUUUUUGCUCAUUGUUCCAUCUUGAUUAUUGGAAAUUGUGUUAGGUUGGCUGCUUUGUCCCUUUGACAAAUCCUCUUGAUUUUUUAGCACUGCCUUAUUCUCUGGCACUACAAGAUGCCCUGAGCUCAUCUUUUAUAUUCCUUGCCUCAGCCCUAGAAUCAGCCCUUCUCUAAGGAACCUACUUCCUUUUGUUAGUACUUCAAAACCAAGAUCUGGGCCUACGAUCCAACAUGCUGACUACACCUGAUCUUGCUAGCUAAGCAGAAUUAGAUGUGGUUAGUAUUGGAUGAAGAAACCAAAAUCUGGACACUGGAAGUGCUUCUUACUAUUGGGACAUCACUACCUCUUGACAUCCCAGUAGACAAAGCUAGAAAAAUGUAUGUAUAUUAAUCCAUGUAUAUGUACGUGUCUAUAAUUAUUUGUGUGUGUGUAUUAAGCUCAACACAAGUUUGUACUAUAUUCAACUUGAAUCUAGGGCAUAUAUUUAGAUUUCAGUGUUGCUAUUUUUCCUGUUCACUGACUAAAUUCAUAAAAAGAUAGGCAAAAAAAAAAAAAAAUCAAAAGCCCAACCAAAUUUUAGCAGCUCUUUGCAAAAAAUAUAA
This is an RNA transcript of Marmota monax (woodchuck), 2211 nucleotides long. It is a transcript of the gene named phospholipase A2 group XIIA, with no coding region annotated. The record is from RefSeq and is a predicted model, not a curated record. NCBI's taxonomy places the organism in Eukaryota, Metazoa, Chordata, Mammalia, Rodentia, Sciuridae. The transcript is spliced from 5 exons.